UUAUGGUUGCACUGUUUUCCUAGGUGGUUCUUCACGUUCCAAUUAAUGCAUGCUUGAUAUUCUUGUGAUAAGCAUAGAUACAAGGAUGGUUAGAGACACUUGCCUUUCUCCAAAAAAAAAGUUACUCUUACUGCUCUUCAGCUCUUGCUCUCUUGAAACUCUUAAUCUUGAAAUCUUUUGAAUAGCGAUCCCUCUACUCGAAGCAAUCAUCAGCACAAGCAUAUAAAACAAC
RNAcentral lists this long non-coding RNA (232 nucleotides) under Setaria italica (foxtail millet). Its description in RNAcentral is "long non-coding RNA (SITA_LNC005134)". Lineage: Eukaryota; Viridiplantae; Streptophyta; Magnoliopsida; Poales; Poaceae. The record is from RNAcentral.